UACGUAGGGGGCAAGCGUUGUCCGGAUUUAUUGGGCGUAAAGAGCGUGUAGGCGGUUUGGUAGGUCCGUUGUGAAAACUCGAGGCUCAACCUCGAGACGCCGAUGGAAACCAUCAGACUAGAGUCCGGAAGAGGAGAGUGGAAUCCCUGGUGUAGCGGUGAAAUGCGCAGAUAUCGGGAAGAACACCCGUGGCGAAGGCGGCUCUCUGGGACGGUACUGACGCUGAGACGCGAAAGCGUGGGGAGCGAACAGG
This 253-nucleotide ribosomal RNA is filed under the name uncultured bacterium. RNAcentral's name for it is "partial 16S ribosomal RNA". It matches the Rfam family "Bacterial small subunit ribosomal RNA", at positions 524 to 776 of the family's 1533-position model. The record is from RNAcentral.